GGGUCAGCGCAUAAACGGCGUACCGGUUUCGCAAUUAUAAAUCUCUGGAGGCGCACAUCCGAUUAACCAAUGGUUGGGUACAAGAUUUGGCUAUUUUUAGACUCCACGUUGUGAAUACGUCCUCAUUCAAACAAAGGGGUUGGAACCAGCUAUUAAAAUGGUCAUCACCAGACCAAGGCUCAAUCGAGUCAUGGAAGGAGGAAUCAGAAAUAAACUGCACAACGACUUGGCUGGUGACCCACUUCACAUCUCCUUGCUAAACACUGGAGAAUCAUGCAAAGACUUUGAUGUAACAGAUUGACCUAUAACAGCAACCGUGGGCAUCAGUGAUGAGAAGACCUGUGUUGAGACAGCAUUGUGAGUACAGGCUGGACCCCACAGAGUGUGUGCAUGUCUGCAGUGAGGAUGAACUCUUCCACCUUGAAAGUACAGACGACAUGGCAAAUAAGAUUGAGACAGCAACAGGAGAACAGGCAGCUGACCAGGAAUGGCAUCAGCUCCACAGGCCAAGAUUACAUCUUCAUAUUUAAGAGGUUUGUUAUAUAAAGGGCGUGAAACUGUGCAGAGAGAAUCCUCAAAGGAACGUGACAGACUGCAGAUGUGAGCACAGGGACAGACAUGGAGUUUAACGCAGCUGGAGAAAACUGCAAAUUGAAAAACUAACGAUAGGCCUCAUGGCCUCGUUGUCCACCCUGACGCUCCCUGGCUUGGUUCCUCACCAGAUGGGUUGAUCUUUGAUCCAUCUGCACUGCCACCGUUUGGACUGCUUGAGAUAAGGUGUCUUUAUGUGAGGAAUUAUGUUCACUUCAGAUACCUUCAACUAAGAAUGGCACCCUGUCUCUCUGUAAAAGUCAGUUGUACCGAUUAUGUUGACACAAAGUUAACAGCAACAUCAGAGAGAGCGUGGACUGGUGUUACUUUCGUGUUCACACGCUGAUGCACUUCUCUCUUACAGUUUUUUCUGAAUGCUUAAACCCUAACUGUGAUUC
Molecule: long non-coding RNA, 989 nt
Organism: Oreochromis niloticus (Nile tilapia)
Lineage: Eukaryota; Metazoa; Chordata; Actinopteri; Cichliformes; Cichlidae
Exons: 4
Source: RefSeq, a predicted model, not a curated record